Long non-coding RNA from Rosa chinensis, 804 nucleotides. RefSeq lists it as uncharacterized. The record is from RefSeq and is a predicted model, not a curated record. The transcript is spliced from 4 exons. Lineage: Eukaryota; Viridiplantae; Streptophyta; Magnoliopsida; Rosales; Rosaceae.
AAGUCUCGAGUCCCAAAAUUACCUCAAAAACAUGCAUUGGAUGAAGCACUCUAUCUUGAGCCAAAGCAGACACAUCCCACAAGCAAAUAUAUUAAGAUAUCACUCUUACAAGCAGAGUUUAGAUAGAAGAAUCAGGAGAGCUGGUAAAGGAUUUCCUAUGUGAUGAUUCCAGACAAACUUGCUAUCUAUGGGCUAGCAGAAGGGCUCGAGCUGCAGCAGCGAAUUGAAGGAAUGGGAAAGUAGUGUCAUCAAGAGUACAUAUGGUCUUGCAAUAAGUAGUUUGUCAACUGCAACAUCAGCUUUCCCCUCAGAACAUAGAGAGGCUGGCAUGUGAUUUCAAUUAUGUUUCAGUGCUAGAGCUGUGAACAGUAUAGUUACCCGUUACUGAUGCAUCUGGCCAUCACAAAUGUCAAUGGGAGCCUCUUUCCAACAUUGGGGUGAAAAAUGACUAUGCCAGGGAGAAGGAUAUCUGUAGGUUCAUUGCUUUCAGAUGGCAGGCAGUUCAUUAGAAGAAUGUGUAUAAAAAUAAUUGGUCAUUUUCAUAAUUGAGGGUGCUUUCAGAUGGUUCUUGCUUUCAGAACCCGGCGAGAUCAAAACAUUGCUUACUGGAUUUUUAAUAUCACAAUAAAGUUUUCCUUUUUCUGUUUUGAAUUUGAAUUUUGGUUUUGAUACAUUUGGUUGAGCUCCGAUGAUGAAUUCUUCGAUGCCUAAGUGCCUAGCUCUCUUAUGCGAUUAUCGUUCCAAUUUCCGAAGCUUAAUGAUAACAUAGAGCUUCUAUGUGGAACUCAAGGGACAUCUGAGGAG